GAGUGCAGUCGCCUCGACUCUUCAACAGUGCCCAGGUGACUCUUGCAUAAGGUGUUCCCGUAUGGCUCCUGAAUGAAAGAAGAGCAGCCUAGCUGAGCUGGGACCUGUCCUCCAGUGCCCAGAGGGGAGCCCCGGGAUGACAAAGCAAAAAGCAACACCCCUUCCUUUUCUCCUGCCAUGGGCAGCAGAAGUAGGGGAAGCUGGGACUGGGCUGAGAUGCAGGGUCCAUAUCACCAACUCCUGAGCAAACCACCAGGUUCAAGCCACCUUGUCCGACAGCACUGAGGACAAAACUCAAGGGCACUCACCAAGCUGCUGCACUGUUGGCACCUUCAAUG
This 338-nucleotide long non-coding RNA is filed under the name Mus spicilegus (steppe mouse). RNAcentral describes it as "lncRNA (ENSMSIG00000015454.1)". The record is from RNAcentral. Lineage: Eukaryota; Metazoa; Chordata; Mammalia; Rodentia; Muridae.